GAGCAUUAUCUGGACUGGGGUUGCAGGUGUGGGGUGGAGAACAUGGUACUGGAGAAGUUUAGGAGGCUGAAUCUUCAGUCUCAUUGAUUGUCUCAAUGUGUGGAAUUGUUCCGGGAGGAGUCAAGGAUGGAACUCAGGAUUUUGAACUGGGCAACUGGAUGACUGGUGGGACCAUUUAAGAAUUUAAGGAAGAGAGAAAAAGGAGAAUUAUGAGAAGGAGGAAGAUGGUGAUUUCUCUCCAGUUUGGAGUUUUGGGAGACACCCAGGGAAAGGUUUCUAACAGACACUUGGACAUAUGGGUCUGAAGCUCAGGAGGGAGAUCUAAGGUGAUGCCAUAGACAUGGGAGUCAUCAGCUCAUAGUGGUAACUGGAUAAUGGAAGUCUGGGAAGACGGGCAUCCCCUGGGGGGAGAGCAGAUGAGACAAGCCAUGGGUAAAAGCUGGGGGUCCUGAACAGUUAAGUGAAGGGCAGAAGGAGGCAUCCCACAAGAGAGUACAAAGAACUGGCAAAAGAAGGAGGGGGAAAAUCAGGGUAGUGUGAGGUCAUGAACCACGGGCAGAGGAAAGCUAGAGAGGCCAUAAGUGGUCCCUCUCGGAGAUACUGCCUGGAGGUCAAGGCAGGAGGCAAGAAAGAUUUAGCAACAUGUUUUUAUUCAACAGCAUUAAAAAGAAAAAGACAAAAUGGGGAAAGUAUUUAUUUAAUAAUAAAAAGGAGAAAAUUCAGUAGAUAAAUAAGUAAUACACAUUAACAAA
RNAcentral lists this long non-coding RNA (752 nucleotides) under Marmota monax (woodchuck). Lineage: Eukaryota; Metazoa; Chordata; Mammalia; Rodentia; Sciuridae. The record is from RNAcentral.